RNAcentral lists this small RNA (66 nucleotides) under Caulobacter vibrioides NA1000. Its description in RNAcentral is "cell cycle regulated sRNA". The stretch from base 5 to 62 matches the Rfam family "Caulobacter sRNA CC0196". Lineage: Bacteria; Pseudomonadati; Pseudomonadota; Alphaproteobacteria; Caulobacterales; Caulobacteraceae. The record is from RNAcentral.
GUCUUCUUUGAAGGCACCCACCAUCACUGACUUCCACAGCCCGGCCGCAAAGCCGGGCUGCUUUUU